Molecule: ribosomal RNA, 1722 nt
Filed under: Pseudomonas aeruginosa
Lineage: Bacteria; Pseudomonadati; Pseudomonadota; Gammaproteobacteria; Pseudomonadales; Pseudomonadaceae
Description: partial 23S ribosomal RNA
Rfam family: Bacterial large subunit ribosomal RNA
Source: RNAcentral
GGUCAAGUGAAGAAGCGCAUACGGUGGAUGCCUUGGCAGUCAGAGGCGAUGAAAGACGUGGUAGCCUGCGAAAAGCUUCGGGGAGUCGGCAAACAGACUUUGAUCCGGAGAUCUCUGAAUGGGGGAACCCACCUAGGAUAACCUAGGUAUCUUGUACUGAAUCCAUAGGUGCAAGAGGCGAACCAGGGGAACUGAAACAUCUAAGUACCCUGAGGAAAAGAAAUCAACCGAGAUUCCCUUAGUAGUGGCGAGCGAACGGGGAUUAGCCCUUAAGCUUCAUUGAUUUUAGCGGAACGCUCUGGAAAGUGCGGCCAUAGUGGGUGAUAGCCCCGUACGCGAAAGGAUCUUUGAAGUGAAAUCGAGUAGGACGGAGCACGAGAAACUUUGUCUGAACAUGGGGGGACCAUCCUCCAAGGCUAAAUACUACUGACUGACCGAUAGUGAACCAGUACCGUGAGGGAAAGGCGAAAAGAACCCCGGAGAGGGGAGUGAAAUAGAACCUGAAACCGUAUGCGUACAAGCAGUGGGAGCCUACUUGUUAGGUGACUGCGUACCUUUUGUAUAAUGGGUCAGCGACUUAUAUUCAGUGGCAAGCUUAACCGUAUAGGGUAGGCGUAGCGAAAGCGAGUCUUAAUAGGGCGUUUAGUCGCUGGGUAUAGACCCGAAACCGGGCGAUCUAUCCAUGAGCAGGUUGAAGGUUAGGUAACACUGACUGGAGGACCGAACCCACUCCCGUUGAAAAGGUAGGGGAUGACUUGUGGAUCGGAGUGAAAGGCUAAUCAAGCUCGGAGAUAGCUGGUUCUCCUCGAAAGCUAUUUAGGUAGCGCCUCAUGUAUCACUCUGGGGGGUAGAGCACUGUUUCGGCUAGGGGGUCAUCCCGACUUACCAAACCGAUGCAAACUCCGAAUACCCAGAAGUGCCGAGCAUGGGAGACACACGGCGGGUGCUAACGUCCGUCGUGAAAAGGGAAACAACCCAGACCGCCAGCUAAGGUCCCAAAGUUGUGGUUAAGUGGUAAACGAUGUGGGAAGGCUUAGACAGCUAGGAGGUUGGCUUAGAAGCAGCCACCCUUUAAAGAAAGCGUAAUAGCUCACUAGUCGAGUCGGCCUGCGCGGAAGAUGUAACGGGGCUCAAACCACACACCGAAGCUGCGGGUGUCACGUAAGUGACGCGGUAGAGGAGCGUUCUGUAAGCCUGUGAAGGUGAGUUGAGAAGCUUGCUGGAGGUAUCAGAAGUGCGAAUGCUGACAUGAGUAACGACAAUGGGUGUGAAAAACACCCACGCCGAAAGACCAAGGGUUCCUGCGCAACGUUAAUCGACGCAGGGUUAGUCGGUUCCUAAGGCGAGGCUGAAAAGCGUAGUCGAUGGGAAACAGGUUAAUAUUCCUGUACUUCUGGUUACUGCGAUGGAGGGACGGAGAAGGCUAGGCCAGCUUGGCGUUGGUUGUCCAAGUUUAAGGUGGUAGGCUGAAAUCUUAGGUAAAUCCGGGGUUUCAAGGCCGAGAGCUGAUGACGAGUCGUCUUUUAGAUGACGAAGUGGUUGAUGCCAUGCUUCCAAGAAAAGCUUCUAAGCUUCAGGUAACCAGGAACCGUACCCCAAACCGACACAGGUGGUCGGGUAGAGAAUACCAAGGCGCUUGAGAGAACUCGGGUGAAGGAACUAGGCAAAAUGGCACCGUAACUUCGGGAGAAGGUGCGCCGGCUAGGGUGAAGGAUUUACUCC